UCUUGGUUCAGGACGAACGCUGGCGGCGUGCUUAACACAUGCAAGUCGAACGGGAGUAUUGAAGAAGCUUGCUUAGAGAUACUUUAGUGGCGGACGGGUGGAGUAACGCGUGAGGAGCUGUCCUAUGCAGGGGGACAACAGCUGGAAACGGCUGCUAAUACCCCAUAAGCCGAGAGGUAAAAGGAUCAAUCCGGCAGAGGAGGUACUCGCGUCCUAUCAGCUAGUAGGUGAGGUAACGGCUCACCUAGGCGAAGACGGGUAGCCGGCCUGAGAGGGCGAACGGCCACACUGGAACUGAGAUACGGUCCAGACUCCUACGGGAGGCAGCAGUGGGGAAUAUUGGGCAAUGGGGGGAAAAACCCCCUGACCCAGCGACGCCGCGUGGGUGAAGAAAUCCUUCGGGAUGUAAAGCCCUGUUGUAUGGGAAGAGCGGAAGACGGUACCAUACGAGGAAGCCCCGGCAAACUACGUGCCAGCCGCCGC
Molecule: ribosomal RNA, 483 nt
Filed under: uncultured bacterium
Lineage: Bacteria
Description: bacterial SSU rRNA
Rfam family: Bacterial small subunit ribosomal RNA
Source: RNAcentral